UGGGAGCCUACCAUGCAAGUCGAGCGGAAACGAGUUAUCUGAACCUUCGGGGGACGAUAACGGCGUCGAGCGGCGGACGGGUGAGUAAUGCCUAGGAAAUUGCCCUGAUGUGGGGGAUAACCAUUGGAAACGAUGGCUAAUACCGCAUAAUACCUACGGGUCAAAGAGGGGGACCUUCGGGCCUCUCGCGUCAGGAUAUGCCUAGGUGGGAUUAGCUAGUUGGUGAGGUAAUGGCUCACCAAGGCGACGAUCCCUAGCUGGUCUGAGAGGAUGAUCAGCCACACUGGAACUGAGACACGGUCCAGACUCCUACGGGAGGCAGCAGUGGGGAAUAUUGCACAAUGGGCGCAAGCCUGAUGCAGCCAUGCCGCGUGUGUGAAGAAGGCCUUCGGGUUGUAAAGCACUUUCAGUCGUGAGGAAGGUAGUGUAGUUAAUAGCUGCAUUAUUUGACGUUAGCGACAGAAGAAGCACCGGCUAACUCCGUGCCAGCAGCCGCGGUAAUACGGAGGGUGCGAGCGUUAAUCGGAAUUACUGGGCGUAAAGCGCAUGCAGGUGGUUUGUUAAGUCAGAUGUGAAAGCCCGGGGCUCAACCUCGGAAUAGCAUUUGAAACUGGCAGACUAGAGUACUGUAGAGGGGGGUAGAAUUUCAGGUGUAGCGGUGAAAUGCGUAGAGAUCUGAAGGAAUACCGGUGGCGAAGGCGGCCCCCUGGACAGAUACUGACACUCAGAUGCGAAAGCGUGGGGAGCAAACAGGAUUAGAUCCCCGGGUUAAUUCAAA
RNAcentral lists this ribosomal RNA (778 nucleotides) under Vibrio harveyi. RNAcentral describes it as "bacterial SSU rRNA". It matches the Rfam family "Bacterial small subunit ribosomal RNA", at positions 43 to 799 of the family's 1533-position model. Lineage: Bacteria; Pseudomonadati; Pseudomonadota; Gammaproteobacteria; Vibrionales; Vibrionaceae. The record is from RNAcentral.